Esox lucius (northern pike) is the source of this 253-nucleotide long non-coding RNA. RefSeq lists it as uncharacterized. Lineage: Eukaryota; Metazoa; Chordata; Actinopteri; Esociformes; Esocidae. The record is from RefSeq and is a predicted model, not a curated record. The transcript has 3 exons.
GGAGAGAGGCAGCCAUGAUGGUGGCCACUGACAGAAAGAGGCUUUCAAGGAGCUGGAGACAAAAGCCAGUGAACAGCACACACUGACCCCAGAGAGUCCAGAUAAUCCCAUCCCAUUCAAGGCUUUGAACUCUUGCAGGACUGGCAGGCAGAGGGGUUUGCACGCUGAUCUUUCGCAUCAACCAUCACUGCACUACAGACUGCAAAUAAUCGAUACGUAUCAUUUUGAAUGGUGUGACCAGGACCUUGUGACU